UACGGAGGGUGCAAACGUUGCUCGGAAUCAUUGGGCGUAAAGCGCACGUAGGCGGUCCGGUAAGUCGGAUGUGAAAUCCCUCGGCUCAACCGAGGAAGGGCAUCCGAAACUGCCGGGCUUGAGUACGGAAGAGGGUCUCGGAUUCCCGGUGUAGAGGUGAAAUUCGUAGAUAUCUGAAGGAACAUCAGUGGCGAAAGCGACUUCCUGGACCAAUACUGACGCUCAUGUGCGAAAGCGUGGGGAGCAAACAG
This 251-nucleotide ribosomal RNA is filed under the name uncultured bacterium. RNAcentral's name for it is "partial 16S ribosomal RNA". It matches the Rfam family "Bacterial small subunit ribosomal RNA", at positions 524 to 775 of the family's 1533-position model. The record is from RNAcentral.